This 73-nucleotide transfer RNA is filed under the name Canis lupus familiaris (dog). It matches the Rfam family "tRNA". From Rfam's summary of the family: Transfer RNA (tRNA) molecules are approximately 80 nucleotides in length. Their secondary structure includes four short double-helical elements and three loops (D, anti-codon, and T loops). The record is from Rfam by way of RNAcentral. RNAcentral also lists the same sequence under 1 other name. Lineage: Eukaryota; Metazoa; Chordata; Mammalia; Carnivora; Canidae.
ACCUGGCAGGCUCAGUUGGUGGAGCGUACGACUUUUGAUCUUGGGGUUGUGAGUUCGAGCCCCACGUGAGGCA